CGUAGCUUAGCGGAAAAGCGUCUGGCUCUCAGGCUGGAGGACCCGGGUUCGAUUCCCGGC
Molecule: transfer RNA, 60 nt
Filed under: Eutreptiella gymnastica
Lineage: Eukaryota; Euglenozoa; Euglenophyceae; Eutreptiales; Eutreptiaceae
Rfam family: tRNA
About the family: Transfer RNA (tRNA) molecules are approximately 80 nucleotides in length. Their secondary structure includes four short double-helical elements and three loops (D, anti-codon, and T loops). Further hydrogen bonds mediate the characteristic L-shaped molecular structure. tRNAs have two regions of fundamental functional importance: the anti-codon, which is responsible for specific mRNA codon recognition, and the 3' end, to which the tRNAs corresponding amino acid is attached (by aminoacyl-tRNA synthetases). tRNAs cope with the degeneracy of the genetic code in two manners: having more than one tRNA (with a specific anti-codon) for a particular amino acid; and 'wobble' base-pairing, i.e. permitting non-standard base-pairing at the 3rd anti-codon position.
Source: RNAcentral